Molecule: unclassified non-coding RNA, 453 nt
Filed under: Hevea brasiliensis (rubber tree)
Lineage: Eukaryota; Viridiplantae; Streptophyta; Magnoliopsida; Malpighiales; Euphorbiaceae
Source: RNAcentral
CUUGAUUGCUCUUUUUAAGCCAGUCGUGUUGUGCACCAACUUGUCAAAUCCGGGUUCUGUCUCCAUUCUGUUAUAAGCCCGUCCACUCUGUAAUCUUGAGUUUCUUUGGAAACUCUCUGGAAGUGAUCUCAAUACAAUAGGGAGAUCGUUAUCUUUUACAUAGUUAGGGGAUGCUUGAUAUACAUAAACACGAGUCCCAGUGCUGCCACAAUCAAGCACAACAUAAUACUUCGAGUCUCUACCGAAUAAGUUAAAAUGAAAAAACAUCACAUACAGGAGAAAUGCAACCAAUAGCAAGCACAGGAGAACAAAGAUAACUCGUGUCCAUUUUGUUCGUGCAGAAGUGACUGUCGGUGUUCCCUUCACCUUGGAGAAGCUUGUACCCAAGUUUUCUCUCUUGAAAAGAUUUAGCCGUUUUAAAUUAGUUGAAUCCCUCUCUAUUUCAGGGUUAGG